AAGCCAUCUGAAUUCCACUCUUAUACAGUCACUCCUGCCUUUUCUCAUCAGAAGUCAUUUCAACUACAAAUUUCUUGGGAAAUUUUAAUGCCAUAAGUCCUCUAUGUUAGUUUUUUUGUCAACUUGACACUACCUAGAGUCAUUUGGGGAAAGGGACAUUCAAUUGAGAAAAUAUUCCAUAAGAUUCACCUAUAGUAAAUUUUUUGAUUAACAAUUGAUGUGAGAGGGCCCAGCCCACUACGGGGCAGUUUCACACUUAGGCUGAUGGUCCUGGGUUAUAUAAAAAAAAAAAAAACAGGCAGAACAAGCCACAGGGAACAAGCCAGUGAGCCACACUCCUCCAUGGUCUCUGAUUCAGUUUCUGCCUCCAGGUUCCUGCGUUGAGUCCCAGCCUUGGCUUCCCUUAGUGAUGGACUGUGAUCAGGACUUGUAAACCAAACAAACCUUUUCCUCUCUAAGUUGCUUUUGGCCAUGGCCACAGCAAUAGAUACCCCGAGUUAUCCUCACAACAUUUAAACCUUUAAGAUAGAUUUAUUUUCCAUAAUGAGGCAGGAGACUUAACAACCCUCUUGUUGGUUUGUCAGCAGAGCUGUAGCAAGCUAUUAUGCAGUUGAUGGUUUAAACAAGGCAGGCACUAACUUACAUUUCUGAAUGCCAGGAUGCUAAGUCAUGGUGUCUACAGGGCCAGUGUUUGCCUGCAAAGUGUGGGGAAAGCCAUCCUUGCCUUCACAGGCUUCUUGUCGGAGCCCCUGAUCUGCUUGCUAUUCCUUGGCUUUCGGCUACUUCCCAUACCUCUGCCUGGGUCAUCUUAAGCCAUUCUCCUUGCACUCAUCUCCUCUUAUGGCGUUGAGAGCUGUGGCCUAUGCCACUUCAGUCUGACUUUGUUUUGACUAAUUUGCAUCUACAGCCUUGUUUUCAAAUAAGAUAGUUUUCUGAAGUUCCUGGGAUGAGCACUUCUUUUUAAGAAGAGGGCACAAAUCAAUUCAGCAACAUUGCCUCACAGGGGUUUAUUUGGAGACCUGGGCCUCAGAAUGCUGGUGUUAAGAUGAUUGAAACCAUUAAGAAGUGGAACACACAUUGGUUGCCUUGCCUAUUGAAGAGAAUACGUUAAUGCUGUUAUAGCCUUAGUUAUUCUCAAGAAAUCAAGCUUAUAAUAGAGCAAGGGGGAUUCCUUCCAAUUCUCUGGCUUCCUGUCUCACUAUGUGGGAGCCUAAGGUGUGUUCCCACUUCAUUACUGUCAUGACUCCAGAGGUCAAACUGUCGAGGACUCUCCAUCUUGAACUUUCAGAUCCUAAAGUUCUGCUGAAUAAACCCUUUUGCUUUAUAAAGAC
This 1331-nucleotide long non-coding RNA is filed under the name Mus caroli (Ryukyu mouse). RNAcentral's name for it is "predicted gene, 26645 (MGP_CAROLIEiJ_G0002805.1)". The record is from RNAcentral. Lineage: Eukaryota; Metazoa; Chordata; Mammalia; Rodentia; Muridae.